GCAAAUAUUUUUUACUUACUGGAGUUCCCCUGAUAUCCCCAACCAAAACUCCCGAGCAGACUCACAGCGUCGCCUGAGUACAGAUCAGAAACAGACUGAAGAAAGUGCGUAGAAUUUUGUCAAACUUGAUGUGAUGACUAAUUUAAUGAUUGCCUUCAUCUUUCACUGCUAGUUAUCGAAGAUCAGUGAAUGCAAUGAUUCUAAU
Pelobates cultripes (western spadefoot toad) is the source of this 205-nucleotide non-coding RNA. Lineage: Eukaryota; Metazoa; Chordata; Amphibia; Anura; Pelobatidae. The record is from the annotation of a GenBank genome assembly.